RNAcentral lists this microRNA precursor (84 nucleotides) under Tursiops truncatus (common bottlenose dolphin). Its description in RNAcentral is "miRNA (ENSTTRG00000023029.1)". The stretch from base 10 to 77 matches the Rfam family "mir-8/mir-141/mir-200 microRNA precursor family". Rfam says of the family: The bounds of the precursors are predicted based on conservation and base pairing and are not generally known. The record is from RNAcentral. Lineage: Eukaryota; Metazoa; Chordata; Mammalia; Artiodactyla; Delphinidae.
AGCCUGCCGAUGGGUGUCUUACCAGACACGGUUAGAUCUGCUCCUUCUGUCUAAUACUGUCUGGUAAUGCCGUCCAUCCAUGGC